Physeter macrocephalus (sperm whale) is the source of this 3292-nucleotide long non-coding RNA. RefSeq lists it as uncharacterized. The transcript is spliced from 3 exons. The record is from RefSeq and is a predicted model, not a curated record. NCBI's taxonomy places the organism in Eukaryota, Metazoa, Chordata, Mammalia, Artiodactyla, Physeteridae.
CGCUCCGCGGCAUGUGGGAUCCUCCCAGACCGGGGCGCGAACCCGGUUCCCCUGCAUCGGCAGGCGGACGCGCAACCACUGCGCCACCAGGGAAGCCCUCUCCAUUCUAUUUCCAAGAUUUUCGAUCAUCUUUACUAUCAUUGCUCUGAAUUCUUUCUCAGGUAGACUGCCUAUUUCCUCUUCAUUUGUUUGGCCUGGUGGGUUUUUACCUUGCUCCUUCAUCUGCUGUGUAUUUCUCUGUCUUCUCAUUUUGGUUAACUUACUGUGUUUGGGGUCUCCUUUUUGCAGGCUGCAGGUUCAUAGUUCCUGUUGUUUUUGGUGUCUGCCCCCAGUGGGUGAGAUUGGUUCAGUGGCUUGUGUAGGUUUCCUGGUGGAGGGGACUGGUGCCUGUGUUCUGAUGGGGCGGGCUGGAUCUUGUCUUUCUGGUGGGCAGGGCCAUGUCCGGUGGUGUGUUUUGUGCUGUCUGUGAACUUAGUAUGAUUUUAGUCAGCCUCUCUGCUAAUGGGUGGGGUUGUGUUCCUGUCUUGCUAGUUGUUUGGCAUGGGGCGUCCAGCACUGGAGCUUGCUGGCCGUUGAGUGGAGCUGGGUCUUAGGGUUGAGACGGAGAUCUCUGGGAGAGCUCUUGCCGAUUGAUAUUACGUGCGGCCUGGAGGUCUCUGGUGGUCCAAUGUCCUGAACUCAGCUCUCCCACCUCAGCGGCUCAGGCCUGACAGCAGGCCGGAGCACCAAGACCCUGUCAGCCACGUGGCUGAUUAUGGAUACUGAGAAGUCCAACAAUCUGUGGUCUGGGAGCUGGAGACUCAAGAAGCCAGUGGUGUAGUUCCAGUCUGAGUCCAGAGGCCUCAGGAGUGCCAAUGGUAUAAGUCCCAGUCUCUAAUAUUUUCUACUGAUUCAAGUGGGAAUGCCAAGGUAUUCUUGCUUCCAGUCUGAUUCAACCUGCAGAUAUGGAUCAAGUUUGGGGCAACCUACUUAACAGGGCUAUGAUGAAUCAUUCUUGAUACACGCCGAAUUGGAUAUUGUACAUAAGUAAUUUGAAGCCAAGUCAUAUAGAGAGUGCUUGAGGGCUCUAGGGAGUCUGGUUUGAGAGGUGUAAACACAGGAAGGACAAGCACCUUUUAGAAGAAUGCAGGGUGAGGGAGUCAAAAUGGAUUUUAAAUAUAAAAUGUAAAACUAUGAAACUUUUAGAAAAAAAGAGGAGAAAAUCUUUGAGCCCUAGGUCUAGGGAAAGUGUUCUUUAACUUGAAAGCAAAAGCACCAUCCAUAAAUGGAAAAACUGAUAAAUUGGGCCUCAUCAAGAUUAAAAGCCUUAAUCUAUGAAACAGAAACAGACUCACAAACAUAGAGAACAGGCUUGUGGUUGCCAAGGGGGAGGUGGGGAGAGAGAGGAUUGGAUUGGGAGUUUGGGACUAGCAGAUCCAAACGAUUAUAUAUAGUAUGGAUAAACAACAAGGUCCUAUUGUAUAGCAUGGGGAAUUAUACUCAAUAUCCUGUAAUAAACCAUAAUGGAAACGAAGUUUUUAAAAAGAUUAAAAGCUUUUGCUCUGUCUGUUAAAGAGGAUAAAAAGACAAGCUACAGACUGGGAGAGAAAUAUUUGCAACCCCCAUAUCUGACAAAGAAUUGCUAUCUAGAAUAUAUAGAGAACACUCAAAACUCAACAGUAAAAAACCAAACAUUCCACUUAGAAAAUGGGCACAAGAUAUGAACAGACAUUCACCAAAGAAGAUAAACAAAUGGCAGAAAAGCACAUGAAAAGAUGUUAAACAUCAUUAUCCAUUGGAAAAAUGCAAAUUAAAACCACAGUGAAAUAUUACUACGCACUUAUCAAAAUGGCUAAAAUUUUUUAAAGUGACAACACCAAAUACUAGCAAGGAUGUGGAGAAACUGGAUCACUUGUACAUUGCUGGUGGGAAUGCAAAACAGUGUAGCCACUCUGGAAAACAAUUUGGCAGUUUCUUAAAAAAUUAAACAGGCAACUACCAUAUGACCUAGAAUUUGCACUCCUGGGCGUUUAUCCCAGAGAAAUGAAAACUUACGUUCGCACAGAAACCUGUACAUGAAUGUUCAUCGCAGCUUUAUUCAUAAUAACCCAGGAGUGGAAACAACCCAGGUGUCCUUCAAUGGGUGCAUGAUUAAAGAAACUGUCGUGCAUCUAUACCAUGGAAUAGUGCUCAGCAAUAAUUGGAAAGGAUUACUGAUGCAACAGCUUGGAUGAAUCCCAGGGGAAUUGUGCUGGGUGAAAAAAGACAGUCCUUAAAGGUUACAUAUUCUAUGGUUCCAUUUAUAUAACAUUCUUGAAAUGACAAAAUUAUAGAAAUGGAGAUCAGAUUAGUGGUUGCCAGCAGUUAGGGAUGAGGGGUGAGAAGGGAGAUGGGUGUGGCAGUCAAAGGGCAGCAGGAGGGAUCCUUGUGGUGAUGAAACUGUUCUGUAUGUUGACUGUCUUAAUGUCAAUACCCUGAUAUCUUGAUAUCAGUAUCCUUGAUAGCGUACUACAGUUUGGCAAGAUGUUACCAUUGGGGCAAACUGAUUAAAGGGUUCACCAGAUCUCUGUAUGAUUUCUACAAUCAUCUCAAAAUAAAGUUUAAUUUUAAAAAAGUCUUUUGUACACACAGAACAACAAUAGAGACAAAUAGAGACUCUUCCUGAGGAGAAUCAUCAAGGUGGCCCUAGGCUGAUGAAGCAGGUAUCAUCUGGAAUGUUACUGGCAGCAGAAAGUUGAUGGCAGAGAGAAAAGAGCACUCUGGAAGGUCUCGUACCAGAAACAAAAUACUCAUUUUCACAGUGAGGCUGGGCGUUCCCAGAAAAGAGAGUUGGAAAUUAGAAGAGUGUUUUGGAGAGAGAUUGGUGUGCUGAUUUCCUCAGAGCCCAUUUUCCAUUCAUUGGCUACAAAAGAGGUUGCACAUUGAUAUCACUUGUGAAAUUGCUAAUUUCUACGAGGACAGGAAUUAGGAUUUCUUCAAAGAUUUAUGCUGGCGGUUUCUGCUUUCUUUUGGGGGUGAGGUAGAGGGAUGGACUAUAUUAUUGCUGAAACAUGAAGAGAAGGUAAAGUGUUGUUUUAUAAGGCAAGUCCUAUCCUGCUUGUGUCAAAAUGGCUUGUGAUAUGCUGCAAAGGACACCAUCAAGAAAGUAAAAAGACAGCCUACAGAAGAGGAAAAAGUGUUUGCAAAUCACAUAUCUGAUAAGGGCCUUGUAUCUAUAAUAUAUAAAGAGCUUUUGCAAUUCAAUAAUAAAAAGACAAAUACCCUGUUUGUAAAAGGGUAAAGGGUUUGAAUGGACUUUUCUCCAAAGAAAUUA